ACGGGGGGAGCAAGCGUUGUUCGGAUUUACUGGGCGUAAAGGGCGCGCAGGCGGCGGACCAAGUCAGGCGUGAAAGCCCCGGGCUUAACCUGGGAGGUGCGUCUGGGACUGGUACGCUAGAGUUCGGGAGAGGAGAGUGGAAUUCCCAGUGUAGAGGUGAAAUUCGUAGAUAUUGGGAAGAACACCCGUGGCGAAGGCGGCUCUCUGGACCGAGACUGACGCUGAGGCGCGAAAGCGUGGGGAGCAAACAGGA
RNAcentral lists this ribosomal RNA (253 nucleotides) under uncultured prokaryote. RNAcentral describes it as "partial 16S ribosomal RNA". It matches the Rfam family "Bacterial small subunit ribosomal RNA", at positions 525 to 777 of the family's 1533-position model. The record is from RNAcentral.